GAUGAACGCUGGCGGCGUGCUUAACACAUGCAAGUCGAACGGAAAGGCCCAAGCUUGCUUGGGUACUCGAGUGGCGAACGGGUGAGUAACACGUGGGUGAUCUGCCCUGCACUUCGGGAUAAGCCUGGGAAACUGGGUCUAAUACCGGAUAGGACGAUGGUUUGGAUGCCAUUGUGGAAAGUUUUUUCGGUGUGGGAUGAGCUCGCGGCCUAUCAGCUUGUUGGUGGGGUAAUGGCCUACCAAGGCGUCGACGGGUAGCCGGCCUGAGAGGGUGUACGGCCACAUUGGGAAUGAGAUACGGACCAGACUCCUACGGGAGGCAGCAGUGGGGAAUAUUGCACAAUGGGCGCAAGCCUGAUGCAGCGACGCCGCGUGGGGGAUGACGGCCUUCGGGUUGUAAACUCCUUUCGCUAGGGACGAAGCGUUUUUGUGACGGUACCUGGAGAAGAAGCACCGGCUAACUACGUG
RNAcentral lists this ribosomal RNA (468 nucleotides) under uncultured bacterium. RNAcentral describes it as "partial 16S ribosomal RNA". It matches the Rfam family "Bacterial small subunit ribosomal RNA", at positions 28 to 507 of the family's 1533-position model. The record is from RNAcentral.